RNAcentral lists this long non-coding RNA (523 nucleotides) under Mus pahari (shrew mouse). RNAcentral's name for it is "lncRNA (MGP_PahariEiJ_G0002665.1)". The record is from RNAcentral. Lineage: Eukaryota; Metazoa; Chordata; Mammalia; Rodentia; Muridae.
GGCACCGGCGCGAGCGCGCGUGGAGGCGGCACUCGGGAGGCAGCGAUCGGGGCUGCAGGCCCUCAAGGGUCCCUCAGGAGUGCGCGACUGGGGCCGGUGGCUCCCGCGCUAUUGCAGAGUGCUUCGCAUGCUGGCAUGUCCCCAUCAUGGCUGAGGGCAGAGGCAGCAGCACAGAGGAGCCUGGAGACGGGAAGACUGACGGUCCCCUGGAGUCCCUCUGGAUCCUGGACAGAAAGAGGACACUACUAGGAGCUAAUGAAAUUCUUUGUGCACAGCCUGAGGAGUUGGCUUUCUGAGCAGCCUUGGAGCUGGUGGUGCGGGACUCUGGUGUUUUUCCUGCCUUCCUGGGCUCCUAGACGUCCCAAGGAGAAAAAACCCAUGCCCAGGUUUCCAGGCCAAACGCUUAGGUAGGACAGUGCUGGGACAUUGGGAUUAAGCAGUGGUACCUCAGGCAGGUCGGGGCACUGCGUCCACUGUUGCUGUUAACCCGGGGAGCAGAUGGCGCAGCAGAGCCAGUCUAGCG